UACGGGGGAAGCAGCAGUAGGGAAUCUUCGGCAAUGGGGGCAACCCUGACCGAGCAACGCCGCGUGAGUGAAGAAGGUUUUCGGAUCGUAAAGCUCUGUUGUAAGUCAAGAACGGGUGUGAGAGUGGAAAGUUCACACUGUGACGGUAGCUUACCAGAAAGGGACGGCUAACUACGUGCCAGCAGCCGCGGUAAUACGUAGGUCCCGAGCGUUGUCCGGAUUUAUUGGGCGUAAAGCGAGCGCAGGCGGUUUGAUAAGUCUGAAGUUAAAGGCUGUGGCUCAACCAUAGUUCGCUUUGGAAACUGUCAAACUUGAGUGCAGAAGGGGAGAGUGGAAUUCCAUGUGUAGCGGUGAAAUGCGUAGAUAUAUGGAGGAACACCGGUGGCGAAAGCGGCUCUCUGGUCUGUAACUGACGCUGAGGCUCGAAAGCGUGGGGAGCGAACAGGAUUAGAUACCCUGGGGUAG
Molecule: ribosomal RNA, 465 nt
Filed under: Streptococcus thermophilus
Lineage: Bacteria; Bacillati; Bacillota; Bacilli; Lactobacillales; Streptococcaceae
Description: bacterial SSU rRNA
Rfam family: Bacterial small subunit ribosomal RNA
Source: RNAcentral